Molecule: long non-coding RNA, 2700 nt
Filed under: Homo sapiens (human)
Lineage: Eukaryota; Metazoa; Chordata; Mammalia; Primates; Hominidae
Description: HSALNT0343128
Source: RNAcentral
AACAACUUUUUAAUAUAAAUGGGCAUGAUCUGGAAAAGGGAACAGUGUGUUGUCAACAUCAAAAGAAUGUGGCAUUGCCUUUCCAAGAUGAUGCCCAUUUAAAGUCAUUUCUUAAAGCAGGUCCCAUUUAUAAUGAGGUUAAAAAUAGUUAGUAUGUUGUUAUGUGGGUUUUGCUGCAUAGAUUGGGCAUAAUCAGAAAUUCUAAUCAUAAGAGUCCAAAAGAACAUUAUAAUUGUGGAAAAGGGAGGUCUACCAUGUGUCAAAGUCUCAGAAGGGAAGUGGAGGUUUAUCAUAUCAGUGGUGAGACAGGUGAUAGAUGAAUGGGGUGGUUUAGUGUCACUGCAGUGAAUUUAGUGAGAAAAUGAAAGACAACCUUUGGGGGGUGGUCUAAAAAAGAGUUGCGAAUUUAUGAACUAAAAUCUAUGUUAUAAUGGGAUUGAUCUCAGGAAUCUUACUCUUACUUGUGUUAUAGCCACAGCCUCAUAGAUGAGUCCAGUCAGUAUUUUAAUAAAAACCUUUCAAGCCAAUUGGAUGUGCAUUACCUCCAUGAACUUCUGCACAGCUGCAAGCAUUCCAAAUUUCAGGUUUAUGCCUGUGUGUUCCAUGAAGGCACCCAUAGGAUAUUGAAAGUUAUCAGGAUAUUCUUCCCACUCCAAGAUCCAGGAAAGUAACACAUCAAUACAGGACAAGGAGAUGCUUCAACAUCAGAAAUGCAUGGGAGAGGUCAUAGGAAAUGAAACAGACUGCUGUUUUCAUGAGAAGCAUUUACAGAGGGAAAUAAGGACACUCACCAAAUAGGGCUAAUUUGAAGAAGGACACAGCUGACUUAGUAGGAAGAAGGCAGAAGAAUUAUCUCCUGGUAAUCAAGACUCUGAAAAUAAGACUUAAGAUAAAAGACUGGAUACAUGCAAGAACAGAGUUCUUAAAGAUCACCAGCUGAAGAUUGUGAUUUUUCAUUCUUCUAUGCCCUAAGACAGCCAUAUUUUACCAUUUGAAACAUAAAUAAAAAUGACUUCCAGGCUUAUUUGAUUACAGACUGAAUUGCUCUAUCAUAGGAUGACAAGCAAUGACAGAUAGGUUCCCCAUAAAGAAAAGUCUGUGAGACUCCAUAUUUCCUGUAAAAGAUGAUAUGAGGAAACCGGGCAGAUUUUUCUUUCAUUCAUACUCUUUUAUAUGGGGGCAAUAGUACUGUCAAUCUCUAUUAUAUCAUUAGGUUACCUGGAAGGUCUUAUGUUUGGCAGUGGAAUGUAAGUUUUAGGGUAAUUUUUCUGAGUGGCAACCCAAGGCCAAUGUAGUAAAUUUUGAAAGAUCAAUUAAAUUACAGAAAAGGCUUGCAUAACAUAAAUGUGUUCUGCCCACUUGUCAACAUGGGUAAAGAUAUUAAUAUUGUAACAAGUGCAAUGACAGAAUUUCAUUUUCAGACUCCAGACUUCUUAACAGUAGCAGUGGCAAGGCAUCAAACCAGUGAGUUUUGCUUCUUUAAUAGUUUCUAUAAAACUUGACAGCCUUUCUGUACAUUGCAAAUACUCUAAAACCACAUUGACUUUAUACAUUAGCUAAACUGCCUAGGAACUUUUUCUAGAUACAACUAAUUCCUGAAGGUGAAGAAGACAGUGUGAGUAUUGCAAGAUCAUGGAUGCAGUUCUUCGAGGUAAAGGCUGUUUUACUCACAUUUGUGAUGUCCUGUUUGUCACAUAAAAGAAAGUCAAUAGAUGCUUCACUGAUUGAAUGUAUAAAGCUGUGAGCUAUGAAAUUUCUCUGAAGAAAAAGGUGAAAAGUCUGAAUUCUUCUUGUGCACCUCAAGUGAUAGUCAUUGUUAAGUAAACCUAAGUGGCAUGAAAGUGUAGGGUCAAGGAUGAUAAAAGGGACAUUUUAAAAUUAUAUUUAAACAGGAGGUGCCAUGGCAUAAUAUUUUCAGUUUAGAAUCAAAAAAGAAAAUGACUUUUUCUGCCAAAGACAAAAGUGUAAAUCUGUUUCCUUCUCCACCAUAUGCCACAAAUAAAAAAAAAAAAAAAUCACAGAUGUCAAAGAGAACACAGGCUGGAGGAAGCCAUCCAGCUACAAGGACCAGUAAAUAGUCAAAACCCAUUCCUAGCUCAACAGUAAAGCAAAAUCCAAUAUUUAAUAAGCAUAGCAGAGAGGAGGAGAGUUGUAAGAUAUGUACUUAAAUUUUACCUGCAUGCACAUAUGUCUUCAGACCUUCAGAUUUGCUCUCACUCCUGGAUCCAAAGUUCUGUUCUCUACAUAAUUUUUGUAUUGUUCUAAUUUUUCCUUUAGAACUUAUGUCAAGCAUCAUGCAUUCUUCCCUGAUUUUUUUUUUUUUUGGAGCAAUCUUCUCAACUCCUCCCAACAGCAUAUUACAUAUGCCUCUCUUUCUCCAUUUGCUUUUACUCCAGUUAGAAUUUGGGAGCCCAACAGGAUUAUAUCUUGUUUGUAAUAGCUGCUCUAGCUCCUAGCACACCAUUUGACACAUAAAGGUAAUAAACAAAUAUUUAUUAAGUAGUUGUUAAUUAAAUCCAAAACUUGGUAACAAAAACACAUUAUCAAAUAAAUGAACAUCUCCCAGCAGGCAAAGAGGACCUAACAAUCAUUGAAAACAUGACAAGUCUAGGAAAAGAAACCAGAAGAGAAGAAAAAUGAAAAUCUUCUGUAUUCCCAUAUUUGAUUUUUCCAAUUCGUACAGCUGAUAAACUAUCCAGU